This 437-nucleotide ribosomal RNA is filed under the name uncultured eukaryote. RNAcentral describes it as "eukaryotic LSU rRNA". It matches the Rfam family "Eukaryotic large subunit ribosomal RNA", at positions 964 to 1391 of the family's 3401-position model. The record is from RNAcentral.
AAGUUUCCCUCAGGAUAGCUGGAACUUAUGAGAAAGUAGUUUUAUCAGGUAAAGCGAAUGAUUAGAGGCUUUGGGGAAGAAACUUCCUCGACCUAUUCUCAAACUUUUAAAUAGGUAAGAUUUGAAGGAUACUUAAGUGAUCUUUCAAUCUCUUGAAUAUAAAGUUCUUAGUGGGCCAUUUUUGGUAAGCAGAACUGGCGAUGUGGGAUGAACCGAACGUUAAGUUAAAGUGCCAAAUAAUACGCUCAUGAGAUACCAUAAAAGGUGUUGGUUCAUUUUGACAGCAGGACGGUGGCCAUGGAAGUCGGAACCCGCUAAGGAGUGUGUAACAACUCACCUGCCGAAUGAACUAGCCCUGAAAAUGGAUGGCGCUUAAGCGUACAACUUAUACUUAACCCUUACUUGAAUUAUUAUAGCGAGUAAGGAGUAGGAGGGCG